AAGUUAAGUAUCUAAAGGGCACAUGGUGGAUGCCUUGGCGGAAAGUACCGAAGAAGGACGUGGGAAGCUGCGAUAAGCGUCGGGUAACUGCUGACCAAGUUAAAAUCCGGCGAUUUCCUAAUGAGAUAACUUUUCCAUAAAGGAAAAUCCGAUAUUAUAUCGGAUAGGGAACCAGGCGAACUGAAACAUCUUAGUAACCUGAGGAAAAGAAAUCAAAAGAGAUUUCCUUAGUAGUGGUGAGCGAACGGGAAAAAGUCUAAACCUUAUUUGUUUUCUUUUGUAUAUUUUUGAUAUAAAAGAAAGGCUACGACCAUCUUAUAUGUAGUGAGUUAUUAAAUAAGGGGUUGCAAGAUAAUUGCUACGUUAGUCUUUUAUAAUUUGAAAAAUUACACCGAAGCGAAGCGAAGGUAAUAAUUUGAAAAAUUACACCGAAGCGAAGCGAAGGUAAUAAUUUGAAAUUAUUUUGGGCUAACUAACUAAGUUCGUAGGCUUAGAUGAAGUAAAAAAUCAAGAUUUUUAGUCGAAGGAUUCUGGAAAGGACAACCAUAGAGGGUAAUAGUCCCGUAGACGAAAAAAAUCUUGACUUCAUUACAAUUAUUCUUAAGUACCACGGGACACGAGAAACCCUGUGGGAAGCUGGGUGGACCACCAUCCAAGACUAAAUAUACUUUUUGACCGAUAGUGGACUAGUACCGUGAGGGAAAGGUGAAAAGCACCCCGGUUAGGGGAGUGAAAUAGUAUCUGAAACCAUGUGCUUACAAGAAGUCAGAGCCCCCCACCACUUUUUAUAAUUUGAGCAAAGUGAGAAUUAAGAUAUAAUUCAAAUUUCUGAAUAUUAUAAAUUGUGGAGAGUGGUGGGGGGUCAUGGCGUGCCUUUUGUAGAAUGAACCAACGAGUUAAUCUUAAUGGCAAGCUUAAUCCCGCCCUUUGAGGUUUAGUUUUUAAAUUAUUUCUAAUUCUAGACAACAAAGGGCGGGAGUAGGCGUAGGGAAACCAAGUCCUAAUAGGGCGAAAUAAGUCAUUAUGAUUAGACCCGAAACCAAGUGAUCUAUCUAUGGCCAGGGUGAAGUUCCGAUAAUACGGGAUGGAGGCCCGAACCUUUCUCAGUUGCAAUUGGGAGGGAUGAGCUGUGGAUAGCAGUAAAAAGCUAAACGAACUUGGAGAUAGCUGGUUCUCCCCGAAAUAGCUUUAGGGCUAGCCUUGUAGUAGAUUUAUGGAGGUAGAGCACUGAAUGGGCUUGGGGUUUUAUAACUACCAAUUCCAACCAAACUCCGAAUGUCAUAAAUUUUAUCUACAAGAGUCAGACUAGCAGGGAUAAGCUUGUUAGUCGAGAGGGAAACAACCCUGAUCAUCAUCUAAGGUCCCUAAGUUAUAGCUAAGUGUGAAAGGAAGUGAAAUUACUUGGACAACCAGGAUGUUGGCUUAGAAGCAGCCAUCAUUUAAAAAGUGCGUAACAGCUUACUGGUCAAGUGAUUUUGCGCCGAAAAUUUAUCGGGGCUUAAGCUAUACACCGAAGAUAUGAUCCUCCACCAAUUAUGGUGGGGGAGGUAGGGGAGCGUCCCUCACUUUACGAAGCUAAACCAUAAGGUUUGGUGGAAAGUGAGGAAGUGCGAAUGUUGGUAUAAGUAGCGAACUGUCCGGUGAGAAACCGGACCACCGUAAGCCUAAGGUUUCUCCGGCAAUGUUAAUCAACCGGAGGUUAGUCGGUCCUAAGCCAAAGCUGAAAGGCGUAGGUGAUGGAUAAUCGGUUGAUAUUCCGAUACCAUUAUAAAUUUUUUGACUUUAGGGGUGACGCAACGUGGUAGAUUGAGCAUGCUUUGGUUAUGUGUGUCUAAGUUUGUAGGGAGUGAUCCGACAAGCAAAUCUAUCGGAUCGUCCAAUCCUGAGGAACGAAUGAAAUCCUGAAUUAAGGAAAUUCGAUUAAUUCAUGUUGCCAAGAAAAACCUCGAAAAUAGAGUUUAUAAUGACCGUACCGCAAACCGACACUGGUAGGCUAGGAGAGUAUUCUAAGGUGAUCGAGAGAACCCUCGUUAAGGAACUCGGCAAAAUAGCGACCGUAACUUCGGAAUAAGGUCUUCCCCCACCACUUUGUUAGGAAGCCUAAAUAUAAAAUUGAGGUAUUUAAAAAUUUAUAUCUCUAAUUAUAAAAAGGUUUCUUACUAAAGUGGUGGGGGGCGCAGCGAAAGAGCCCAGGCGACUGUUUACUAAAAACACAGGACUCUGCAAAACCGCAAGGUGAAGUAUAGGGUCUGACGCCUGCCCAAUGCUAGAAGGUUACGGAAACCCCUGUAAGGGGGGGACCCAAGCCCUAGUGAAUGGCGGCAGUAACUAUAACUGUCCUAAGGUAGAAAAUCUGCCUUAGUAAAAUCUAGCUAUAUGCUGGAAAGCCUGUUCUCAUUAAAGAGUUUGAGUAUCUGGUGCUACUAUGGUAUAAUAUUUCCUUAGAAAGGGAAUAAAAUGCCAAGUAAAAAUGUAUCCAGUGCAGGCAAUCAGCAGGGAAGGCAAAAACUUAUAGGAUGGGUUGUUGGAUUUAUAGAUGGAGAAGGUUGUUUUUCAGUAAGUAUAAAUAAAAAUUCAACAACAUCUUCUGGCUGGCAAAUUUUUCCUGAAUUAGUUGUUACUCAGGGAAAGAAAAGUAUUUGUUCUUUAAAAGAAUUACAAGAUUUUUUUGGAUGUGGAAGAAUUUUUGUUAAUUAUCGACAUGAUAAUCAUAGAGAGGAUUUAUAUAGAUUUUGUAUAAGAAGUAUUGAUGAUUUACAUAAUAAAGUUAUUCCUUUCUUUCAGAAAAAUUCUCUAAAAACUGCUAAAAAAGAAGAUUUUCAAAAAUUUACAAAAAUAGUGAAAAUUAUGUCCAGAAAAGAACAUCUUAGUAAAAAAGGCAUGGAAAAAAUUGCUAAAAUUGUUCAGAAUAUGAAUCGUAAAAAACCAUCUAGAUUUUUGUUACCCUCAGAGACUAUACGCUAGACCCCAAUUUAAUAUUGGGGAAGAUAUAGUCCGAACUGCAUGGCGACAUGUAGAAUCCAUAUCGCUAUGGAUCGCUCCGAUGUCCAUCGGAGUCAUACCUAUCUCGUAAAAGAUAGGGAAGUAACAGAUUGAGCGAAAUUCCUUGUCGUGUAAGUUACGACCCGCACGAAUGGCGUAACGGUCUGGGCACUGUCUCAACGAGGGACUCGGCGAAAUUGCAAUACCGGUAAAGAUGCCGGUUACCCGCGACAAGACGGAAAGACCCCGUGAAGCUUUACUAUAGCCUGAUAUUGGGUUUUGAAAAAGUAUUGUGUAGCGUAGGAGGGAGCUUCGGCGCCAAUGAAACACCUCCCUUGNNNNNNNNNNNNGUCUGGUGGGUAGUUUGACUGGGGCGGUCGCCUCCUAAAGAGUAACGGAGGCGUUCAAAGGUUCCCUUAGUCCGGAUGGAAAUGGGGCUGAAAGUGUAAAAGCAUAAGGGAGCUUAACUGCGAGACUUACAAGUCAAGCAUGGACCAUAUGUCCACCAGCCUUUGGCUGGGAUGCGAAAGCAGGAUUUAGUGAUCCCCCGACAGCUUGUGGAAGUGUCGGGGCUCAACGGAUAAAAGUUACUCCGGGGAUAACAGGCUUAUCGGUCCCAAGAGUUCAUAUCGACGGACCGGUUUGGCACCUCGAUGUCGGCUCAUCGCAUCCUCCUGGUGAAGUAGCCAGGAAGGGUUGGGCUGUUCGCCCAUUAAAGCGGUACGCGAGCUGGGUUUAGAACGUCGUGAGACAGUUCGGUCCCUAUCUGUCGUGGGCGUGGAAGUUUGAGAGGGGUUACACCUAGUACGAGAGGACCGGUGUGAGGAAACCUCUAGUGUACCAGUUGUUAAGCCUUUAGCAUUGCUGGGUAGCUAUGUUUGGUUUGGAUAAGCGCUGAAAGCAUCUAAGCGCGAAGCCAUCCUCAAGAUUAGACUUCGUCUCUUUAUUUUUUGAGAUAGAGAUUCCUAGAAGAUUACUAGGUUGAUAGGCUCUAAGUGUAAGAUCGGUAACGAUUUUAGCUGAGGAGUACUAAUAGAUCGAAUACUUAACUAC
Molecule: ribosomal RNA, 4035 nt
Filed under: Candidatus Dadabacteria bacterium
Lineage: Bacteria; Pseudomonadati; Thermodesulfobacteriota; Candidatus Dadabacteria
Description: 23S ribosomal RNA
Rfam family: Bacterial large subunit ribosomal RNA
Source: RNAcentral